Tachyglossus aculeatus (Australian echidna) is the source of this 277-nucleotide long non-coding RNA. RefSeq lists it as uncharacterized. The transcript has 3 exons. NCBI's taxonomy places the organism in Eukaryota, Metazoa, Chordata, Mammalia, Monotremata, Tachyglossidae. The record is from RefSeq and is a predicted model, not a curated record.
UGUAGAUCCGCGGACACAGGAGGACGAAAAGGCCGGUAGUGGUUGAAAUCACGGUGGCCCGUAAGGUGAGCAGCAAACACAGCCACAGCUCUGUUCGGAUGAGAAACAAAAAUAGCCCUGAAGUUUUAGGAUUUGGAAGAAUUCCUGCCGGGAGAAUUUUUACUUCCUUGAUAGGAGUACCCAGCCAUAAUUCAGGCCCUGAUUUCUUUUUCUCAUGGAUUUCCUUCCAUCCCUCAGUCCAGAGACCCAGAACCAAAGCUGCAAAAAACCAAGGAGG